AGUUAAUAAGCUUUAAGCAGUAUAACUUGAAAUUAUAAGAAAGUAAAAAAUACUAUUAACUU
This 62-nucleotide transfer RNA is filed under the name Pyrops candelaria (lantern bug). RNAcentral's name for it is "Laternaria candelaria (lantern bug) tRNA-Ser". Lineage: Eukaryota; Metazoa; Arthropoda; Insecta; Hemiptera; Fulgoridae. The record is from RNAcentral.